This is a long non-coding RNA of Hippocampus comes (tiger tail seahorse), 895 nucleotides long. RefSeq lists it as uncharacterized. The record is from RefSeq and is a predicted model, not a curated record. The transcript has 3 exons. Lineage: Eukaryota; Metazoa; Chordata; Actinopteri; Syngnathiformes; Syngnathidae.
CAGGCGAGACCAACUUUGCUCGAUCAUAAAACAAAAACGAGUCAACGGAGCGGCGUCGAGAGUAUACUGCGACCAAGACUUUCUCUCUGAAGUUGCAGCGCUUAUCUCGUUUUACACAUAUGUGUGGAAGACGCUAAGGAUAAGCUAACUUGUUAACGUGGGGUGGCGUUGGCUUUUUCCUCCACGAAACAACACGUCAAACAGUUGAAGUCACGUUAACCCCCCCCCCCCAAACAAUAAAUGAAAUGACGUAUGGCGGUUCUUAAAUGGUCAUUCACGCCAAAAGGAGGACUAUAACGCCAUGGCUGACGCCGUAAAUGAAGCAACAAUGGCGAGUGGACCACUGCAACAGCCAGUUGAAGGCAAAGUGACGUCACCCUCUUGGUGGAGACCAUCGUCAUGCUACAAAGACAAGGUCAAGGAGAAGCGCAUUGGAGCACCCAAUGUGGGGCGAGAGGUGGAGUCCAGCCUCUGGACUGGUCAUCUAUCAAUAGGAUUGACACAGAAGAAAGACACGAUAGAUCACGCUUAUAUUUACACCUACAUGAACAAUGAAUUAAGCUAACAUCCCGGUAAAUGUUUGUGUAAACAUUCAAAACAUUUUAAAGUCUUCAAUGGAGCUAACCUGGAAGGUUUUGUCAACAUCAUGGGCAAUUUUGUUGAUAAAGAUCUGGAUAUACAUUUUUUUUUUUUUUUUUUUUUUGCAGACAAGAAUUGAAUAGGCAGUGAAGUUAAAUGUACACAUUUUCACCAUCAUCAAAGCCCAGUCUUCAAAGAAGCUAUUAUACAGUGGAUGUAAAAAAAAAAAAAAAUGUACUCGCCUCUGUUCUAAUGCCAGGUUUUGGUAGUAGAAAAGAAAUGAGAUCAAGAAAAAUUAAAGACGUUUUCUACCAUU